GACGAACGCUGGCGGCGUGCUUAACACAUGCAAGUCGAACGGUAAGGCCCUUCGGGGUACACGAGUGGCGAACGGGUGAGUAACACGUGGGUGAUCUGCCCUGCACUUCGGGAUAAGCCUGGGAAACUGGGUCUAAUACCGGAUAGGACCACUGCCUGCAUGGGUGGGGGUGGAAAGCUUUUGCGGUGUGGGAUGGGCCCGCGGCCUAUCAGCUUGUUGGUGGGGUGAUGGCCUACCAAGGCGACGACGGGUAGCCGGCCUGAGAGGGUGACCGGCCACACUGGGACUGAGAUACGGCCCAGAGUCCUACGGGGGGCAGCAGUGGGGAAUAUUGCUCGAUGGGCGCAAGCCUGAUGCAGCGACGCCGCGUGAGGGAUGACGGCCUUCGGGUUGUAAACCUCUUUCAGCACCGACGAAGCGCAAGUGACGGUAGGUGCAGAAGAAGGACCGGCCAACUACGUGCCAGCCGCCGCAGUAA
This 478-nucleotide ribosomal RNA is filed under the name uncultured bacterium. RNAcentral's name for it is "partial 16S ribosomal RNA". It matches the Rfam family "Bacterial small subunit ribosomal RNA", at positions 28 to 523 of the family's 1533-position model. The record is from RNAcentral.